RNAcentral lists this ribosomal RNA (484 nucleotides) under uncultured bacterium. Its description in RNAcentral is "partial 16S ribosomal RNA". It matches the Rfam family "Bacterial small subunit ribosomal RNA", at positions 30 to 507 of the family's 1533-position model. The record is from RNAcentral.
AUUGAACGCUGGCGGCAGGCCUAACACAUGCAAGUCGAGCGGAUGAAGGGAGCUUGCUCCUGGAUUCAGCGGCGGACGGGUGAGUAAUGCCUAGGAAUCUGCCUGGUAGUGGGGGAUAACGUCCGGAAACGGGCGCUAAUACCGCAUACGUCCUGAGGGAGAAAGUGGGGGAUCUUCGGACCUCACGCUAUCAGAUGAGCCUAGGUCGGAUUAGCUAGUUGGUGGGGUAAAGGCCUACCAAGGCGACGAUCCGUAACUGGUCUGAGACGAUGAUCAGUCAUACUGGAACUGAGACACGGUCCAGACUCCUACGGGAGGCAGCAGUGGGGAAUAUUGGACAAUGGGCGAAAGCCUGAUCCAGCCAUGCCGCGUGUGUGAAGAAGGUCUUCGGAUUGUAAAGCACUUUAAGUUGGGAGGAAGGGCAGUAAGUUAAUACCUUGCUGUUUUGACGUUACCAACAGAAUAAGCACCGGCUAACUUCGUG